This 335-nucleotide long non-coding RNA is filed under the name Chinchilla lanigera (long-tailed chinchilla). RNAcentral's name for it is "lncRNA (ENSCLAG00000026304.1)". The record is from RNAcentral. Lineage: Eukaryota; Metazoa; Chordata; Mammalia; Rodentia; Chinchillidae.
UGGAGCGAUGCAGCCAGUACGCAGAGGGUGUCUGUCCUACUCCACACAGUGCCACAGGACUGUAUCUGCCGUAACGAUGUUAGAAGAACUUGUGCUUUGCAGCGCAAACUUGCCAGCUGGAAACUCACCUCCACCGUGUGGACUGGCUCGAGACUGUGGCUGGGAGAAGAUCUUUGCAAUCCUUCAGUCUUGAAUUUGCUUCAGGGAUGUGACUCUCCUGUCUGCUCCUGAAAUGUAAGACCCGAGACCAGGGAAUGUGUAACAUUUCAUUAAAAUGCAUCUAUUAUGGGAUGUAAAAAUGGGAUGUUGUUUUCUCAGCUGCUGUUCAAUUCUCA